ACUCAAAGGAAUUGACGGGGGCCCGCACAAGCGGAGGAGCAUGUGGUUUAAUUCGAUGAUACGCGAGGAACCUUACCCGGGCUUGAAUUGCAGCAGAAUAACAUGGAAACAUGUUAGUCUUUCGGGACUGCUGUGAAGGUGCUGCAUGGUUGUCGUCAGCUCGUGCCGUGAGGUGUUAGGUUAAGUCCUGCAACGAGCGCAACCCUUACACUUAGUUGCCAGCACGUAAAGGUGGGAACUCUAUGUGAACUGCCUACGCAAGUAGAGAGGAAGGUGGGGAUGACGUCAAAUCAGCACGGCCCUUAUGUUCGGGGCUACACACGUGCUACAAUGGUCGGUACAGAGGGCAGCUACCCCGCGAGGGGAUGCGAAUCUCAAAAGCCGAUCUCAGUUCGGAUCGGAGUCUGUAACUCGACUCCGUGAAGUUGGAUUCGCUAGUAAUCGCGCAUCAGCCAUGGCGCGGUGAAUACGUUCCCGGGCCUUGCACACACCGCCCGU
Molecule: ribosomal RNA, 498 nt
Filed under: uncultured bacterium
Lineage: Bacteria
Description: bacterial SSU rRNA
Rfam family: Bacterial small subunit ribosomal RNA
Source: RNAcentral